GCAAAGUCAAUUAUGCAAAAAUGAUGGAAGAGCACAUUCAAAUACUUAGGGCAGAGCAAAGAGUACAUGCAAUAGCCAUGCAAUGGAAGGGAACGUGAGUUGUUCAAAUCACUGAUUCAAGGCCAGCAUGGCUAAAACAGAUAGCAUGGGCAUGCAGUUUAAGACACAAUAUUAGAGGGUGGCAGGAAGUUGACCAUAUAAAACUACACAUGCCAAUGUAAGAAUUUUUUGUAUUUCUCCUAAAAGUAAUGUGAGGAUAUUAGAGACUGAUCUCACUCUGGACUGUGGCAUAGAGAAUUCUUUGGAAGAGGAAGAAAACUGAUAAGAGACCAGACCAUCAGAAGACCAUGGCAGAGUCCAGGUGAAAGAUUAUAGUGACUUGAUCUAAGUUGUUUUUUGAGAAAAUUAAGAAAAUUGAAUAGAUUUGAAAUAUAUUCAGGAGGUGAAGCCAAAUGCUUUGAAGAUGAAUUUCUGAACACUGUUGAACGUGAUGGAGGUAUCAUGGGUGAUUCAGGAUCUCUUGUGAAACUGGAUGGAAUUAUGGAACUGCAUAUUGAGUCUUGAAAGUAUCUAGUACAUGUACUGGAGGAACUCCAAUAUUUAAAACCAAAGAAGAAAUCUGAUGAAGGAGACUAAAAGGAAGCCUCUAGAUGAAGAAGAAAAAUGAAGAGAACAUUAUUACAUGGGAGCUAAGAAAAGAGACUGUCGCAAAAAAUAGGAGUUUGAUCUUCUUGAUGAACAUUAUAAUCAUUUUGUCAGGAUUUGGUCCAGAAUUGGAUUACUUUUAUAAAUACUGCCAAGACGAUGAUAACCUGUAUUUAGCUUAAUGUAAGGAUAUCAUAGAAAUGUCUGACAAAUGUCUGUAUGCAUUCAUGUUCAUUAUGCACUUCCUCAUGGAUUCUUCUGGAUGAUUAUAAUUAUUUAAAUUAUUGAGCUGGAUGCUUAGUUUAGUAUUCAUUUUCUCUUUAUCCUCACAGGCAAAAUACAAUAUACUUUCGUCAUGUUUGAUGUUUACUGAUCAUUUAAUAUUUUGUUAGCAGUAUAUUAAUAUAAUUUUUUAUUGCAUUUCUUCAAACUUAGUAUUUACUUAAAAUACUUUUUAUAUUUGUAAUAUGGCCCCAAAUUCUCUAAUUAUGUUUUCUUUUAAUUAUUUGUUCAGUUCAGCUCUCUGGGGCUGGUUUAAAUACAUCGAAGAGCUAAUCUAGAAAAGGAUGCCCUGAAGAAUAUAAGGAAAAAGUGAAAUUUUUCCAGAGAAAGGAGGGAACAUACCAAUAAUAUCUAAAAAUCUGCAUAGGGCCUUUGUCACUGUUCUGUGCUUGUUUAGUGGAUUUCAUUUCAAUUUGUGUUGUAAAGAGAGAAUGGCAUGGUAAAUUUCUGCCUAAAGAAUUUAUUGAUUGUUUUCUUUUAAAAGUAGUCUAUAGACCCUAGAUGAUAAAGUAUAUUCCCUGUAGGAUGUAAGUAUUGAUAAGUUACUGCAUAAUGCUAUUUGGAGCUUGAGUAGAUUAGCAAAGACAUAAUUAAUUUUGUCAGGAAACAUAACAGGUAGUCACAGUAUCUUAAAAAGAAUUGUUUUUAUUUGUAUAAAGCAUUAUUUUAUGUUAACUGGAAUAUGAGAUUUAAAAAGAAGAAGCAGAAAAAUAACUGUAGACAUGAAAAGAGAAAAAACAUAUUUGUAUAGUUGUAGCAUAAAGGUUGAGGUAUCCUAUAUUGUCUUUGCUUGAUUGUGAAUAUUACACAAAGUGCAAAGACAUGUCUUGUGUAAAAACUUCUAAAUUCCUACUGGCACAUGCACUUUAGCAGAUACAUAAAUUCCAUCUCAUUUUAUCUGCAAUGUCUAUUCCAUCUCUGUAGACAGGCAGAGCAAAGCUUAUUAUAGUUCACCCUUGUUAAUACGUUUUACCUUUCUUAAUUUUUAAAUAGCAUGCUGACAAAGACUCUUUCACUAAUAGUCUCUCACUGAUAAGACCCUCGAGCCCUCUUGUUGAAUUGGCCUUGGUCUUGGCCUUUCAUGUUUAUCCUGUCUUUGCCAGGCCUGCAUAUCCCAAAUUUAGAAAGAAUCCUGCCAAAUCAGCUUAGUAAUAGUCCCUCUACCUUUGAUAUCUAAUCACCCUUGACAUUUGAACAAGUUCCUCAUCUCCAUCAUUGAUUUAUAAGUACUUGGCUUAUCUUUAGCAAGAAUCUUACUGGGUCACUUUAGCAAGAAUUCCCCUUCCCUUGAUGUCUCUUCUUAGUAAUUUUCCAUCCACAGAUCCCUCACUUUGCACAUUGGUCAUAAAUCCCCACUUGUCCUUAUUGUAUUCAGAGUUGAGCCUGAUCUCUCUGCCUUGUUGCAAUAGUCUCUAAUGAAGUCACCAUUACUGUUUUAAAAAGUAUUAGAGUAAUUUUUUCUUUAACAGUGCUUGGUUAUUAAAAUGACAGUAAAAAGAAUUUAAAAUUAAACAUCUUAAAAUAGGUCUUUGAAGGUAAUAAUCAAACUAAAUAAUUGUUCAAAGGAGAAGUAAUGAAUAAGCUGCAUUUUUUUCAUCCAGCAGUACUCAAUAUACUAUACUGUGAACUCUCAUGGUCUGUUUCUUUACUAAUAUAGUCUAUCAUGCUUUGGAUGUGUGUGAAGAUUCAUAUAUGUGAAGUUCUGUUCAUGUGGAUGUUUGAUAAGAAGCAACUCUUCUCAUUUCAAUAAAGAAAAAAUAUAAAUGGAAACCACUGAGUUGUGAACGUUGGAAAACUGCAGGGAGGAAAUAUAUAAUUUCCUCUCCCCAUGUUAGGUUCAUGAGUGAGGCCCCUAUAAGAAAACACAAGUUAACAAAAGAAAAGCAUACAGAUUUAUUGAAUAUGUUUUACAUGCAUGAGAGCCU
Molecule: long non-coding RNA, 2852 nt
Filed under: Homo sapiens (human)
Lineage: Eukaryota; Metazoa; Chordata; Mammalia; Primates; Hominidae
Description: HSALNT0118681
Source: RNAcentral